UUAAUUUAUUAUGCCAAUGUUUUAGGAGAAUAUACUUUGAGUCAGGUUGGUAUACUAUCGGUAGCACGGAAGUCUUCAUGCUACUAAAUUAUUUUCGAUGAUGCGGCUUCCAAAUUGACGAUCAGCUCCAUUAGACUUGAUCUACAUUAUUAAAAGUAUUUGGAAACUAAAUUUCAUAAUUUUUCGACAUCAUUUGGCUAGUGAUCAAAAGGUCUCAAAAUUGACAAUUUUAAUGGUAGAUGUGAUCCACAAUAAAUGUAACCAAUAAAAUAGAAAAAGACACAUAUGGUAGUUGAUUCAUAUUUUCAGCUAAAUUUAUUUCAAAAAAAAUAAAUAAAGCGCAUAAUAUGCCACAUUUCUCUCUCAAAAAAAAAACUCUCAAAAAAGAGAAAAAUAUAUGUUCAUCUUCCAUUUUAAAAUUAUGUUUGGAUGUUUGAAUAUCUUAUUUAGUAUAUUUUCUUAAUUUAUUUAAGAAGCUGAUCUUAUUUAUUUAUAUAAGGAAUAUAAUUAAAUUAAGUAAAUCAAAGAUUACUAGAAAAUUAUUAUUUUUUUUAGAUU
RNAcentral lists this long non-coding RNA (558 nucleotides) under Ananas comosus (pineapple). Its description in RNAcentral is "long non-coding RNA (ACOM_LNC035966)". Lineage: Eukaryota; Viridiplantae; Streptophyta; Magnoliopsida; Poales; Bromeliaceae. The record is from RNAcentral.